AUUUAUUUUGGGCCCCAUCGUUUCUUCUUUAAUGUUCUUGACUUUAAACUAAUUAAAGUGAACAAUUAAAGUUUUAUUUUAAUUCAACAUUUAAAUAAAUGAUCACUUAUACACAACAAGUUUGUUUAUAAUGUAUAAGAUUUUAGGGUAAGAAAUGCACUGUCGUUUGUUUUGUGCCACAUUAUUUCUUUUUUAACGUUCUUGACUUUAAAAUAAUUAAAGUGAACAAUUAAAUUUUUAUUUUCUUUAAAUAUUUGAAUAAAUAAUUGCUAAUAUAUAACAAUUUUGUUUAUAAUAUAUAAGUGUAAUAUUUUAGGGUAAGCAAGGCAGCGUUAUUUAUUUUGGACCAAUAGUUUCUUUUUUAAUGUUCUUGACUUUAAACUACUUCAAGUGAAAAUUAAAAUUUUAUUUUACUUGAACAUUUGAUUAAAUGAUUACUAGUAGAUAACAAAUUUGUUUAUAAUUUAUAAGUAUAAUAUUUUAGGGUAAGAAAAGCGCUGUCGUUUAUUUUGAUCC
This 516-nucleotide long non-coding RNA is filed under the name Manihot esculenta (cassava). RNAcentral describes it as "long non-coding RNA (MESC_LNC013134)". The record is from RNAcentral. Lineage: Eukaryota; Viridiplantae; Streptophyta; Magnoliopsida; Malpighiales; Euphorbiaceae.